This 364-nucleotide ribosomal RNA is filed under the name uncultured bacterium. RNAcentral describes it as "partial 16S ribosomal RNA". It matches the Rfam family "Bacterial small subunit ribosomal RNA", at positions 338 to 699 of the family's 1533-position model. The record is from RNAcentral.
CCUACGGGCGGCAGCAGUGAGGAAUAUUGGUCAAUGGACGCAAGUCUGAACCAGCCAUGCCGCGUGCGUGAAGACGUAUCUAUUAGUUGUAAACUGCUUUUGCACGGGGGAAAAUCCCGAUACCUGUAUAGGGUUGAAAGUAUCGUACGAAUAAGGAUCGGCUAACUCCGUGCCAGCAGCCGCGGUUAUCCGGAGGAUUCAAGCGUUAUCCGGAUGUAGUGGGUUUAAAGGGUGCGUAGGCGGUAGGCUAAGUUAGAGGUGAAAUCCGGGGGCUCAACUCCGGCACUGCCUCUGAUACUGUAGGGCUGGAGUGUAGGUGAGGUAGGCGGAAUGUAUGGUGUAGCGGUGAAAUGCAUAGAGAGCA